UUAGAGACAGGUGCUGCAUGGCUGUCGUCAGCUCAUGCCGUGAGUGUGGGUUAAGUCCCGCAACGAGCGCAACCCCUAUUUUAGUUGCCAUCAGGUUAAGCUGGGCACUCUAAAGAGACUGCCGUCGAUAAGGCGGAGGAAGGUGGGGACGACGUCAAGUCAUCAUGGCCCUUAUGUCUAGGGCUACACACGUGCUACAAUGGGUUAUACAGAGGGCAGCUAGCUCGCGAGAGUCUGCGAAUCCCUUAAAGUAAUCCUCAGUUCGGAUUGUAGUCUGCAACUCGACUACAUGAAGUUGGAAUCGCUAGUAAUCGCAGGUCAGCAAAACUGCGGUGAAUACGUUCCCGGGCCUU
Molecule: ribosomal RNA, 353 nt
Filed under: uncultured Denitrovibrio sp.
Lineage: Bacteria; Pseudomonadati; Deferribacterota; Deferribacteres; Deferribacterales; Geovibrionaceae
Description: bacterial SSU rRNA
Rfam family: Bacterial small subunit ribosomal RNA
Source: RNAcentral